GGUGAGAUGGCCGAGUUGGUUAUGGCGCCAGGUUAAGGUUACCUUAACAUGUUUCCUGGUGGAGCAAUCCUCAUGGGUUCGAAUCCCAUUCUCAUCA
RNAcentral lists this transfer RNA (97 nucleotides) under Cordyceps javanica. RNAcentral describes it as "Isaria javanica tRNA". It matches the Rfam family "tRNA". Rfam says of the family: Transfer RNA (tRNA) molecules are approximately 80 nucleotides in length. Their secondary structure includes four short double-helical elements and three loops (D, anti-codon, and T loops). Further hydrogen bonds mediate the characteristic L-shaped molecular structure. tRNAs have two regions of fundamental functional importance: the anti-codon, which is responsible for specific mRNA codon recognition, and the 3' end, to which the tRNAs corresponding amino acid is attached (by aminoacyl-tRNA synthetases). tRNAs cope with the degeneracy of the genetic code in two manners: having more than one tRNA (with a specific anti-codon) for a particular amino acid; and 'wobble' base-pairing, i.e. permitting non-standard base-pairing at the 3rd anti-codon position. Lineage: Eukaryota; Fungi; Ascomycota; Sordariomycetes; Hypocreales; Cordycipitaceae. RNAcentral also lists the same sequence under 1 other name. The record is from Rfam by way of RNAcentral.